UACAGAGGGGGCAAGCGUUAUUCGGAACUAUUGGGCGUAAAGGGCGCGUAGGCGGCUUGGCAAGUGGAAGGUGAAAUCCCUCGGCUUAACCGAGGAACUGCCCUCCAAACUGCUUCGCUUGAGACCGGGAGAGGUGAGUGGAAUUCCCAGUGUAGCGGUGAAAUGCGUAGAUAUUGGGAGGAACACCAGUGGCGAAGGCGGCUCACUGGACCGGUACUGACGCUGAUGCGCGAAAGCGUGGGGAGCAAACGGG
Molecule: ribosomal RNA, 253 nt
Filed under: uncultured bacterium
Lineage: Bacteria
Description: partial 16S ribosomal RNA
Rfam family: Bacterial small subunit ribosomal RNA
Source: RNAcentral